AAGGUAUCAGGGAUGACUUUGGCACUGUUGCCCGAGGCCGAAAGGCCGAGGGCAACAGUUCCAAAUGUCAGCCCUGAUACCGAGGGACAACAGUCUUGACUGUUCACCAAGCAUCCAUGAAAUAAGUGUUUUAUUACCUGAUCAAAUUUCCAACAUAGAAAUAACAGCAAACUAAAUUUUUAUUUACACACAACAGUAAUCGAUAAAAUAAAUAAUUUUGACUGUUUAACUGUAAAAUGACGUCAUUUUUUUCGACGAAAUGACGUCAUUAUUCCAGCGGGCAACAGUUCAAACUGUUGACCUGUCAACAGUUCGAUAUUCACCGGUAAUAGUCUAAAACAUUGCAAAUUUCUUUUUCGACGAGGAAAUAGCAAAAAAUAAUUAAUCAUCAUUUAUAUAAGACAUCAGGUACAAUAGCGUUGCUGUAGUCAGCAGGAGCUGCAGGGAUUGCUUACUCCUCAUCGGCUGCCAUAGGGGGAACUUCAGCAGUAGUCACGGCUGCUGUACAGGCUGCUGUGUCAAGGCCACAAACAACGGGGCUCAACUCAGCAGGGAUCAAGGUUACCAAACAGGCUGCGGUGUCUGGGGCACAGACCACGGGGCCUGACUCUGCGGGGGUCACCAAUGCUUUAUAUGGGGCUUUGUCCAAAACGCAAGCAUCAGCCUCUUAUUCAAUGGCUGCAAAAGUAAGUGCUUCUUCUAAGGUCCCGGGUGCUUUACAGACUGCAGCCUCCUCCUCAUGGUCCGCCAAAAAAGGAGCUUCGGCGUGGGUCGGGCCGACUUUAACAGCCGUUGUAUAUGGGACAAAGACCGCAGAGUCAAAGAAGACACAGGAUGGGCAGGCAAAUGGUAACAAUGGAAAAGAAAAUGAUUAAUGACAGCUUUUUGGCAUAUAGUUAACUGUUUUGCAUUUAAUUACCUGCGCUAUAUGUGUGAUUUCUGUUAUCAUAAACAACUCUUUAUCAUUAUGGAUUGCCGUAUCUAGUUUACAGUAUUUAUUGUUGAUUGAAAUGGAGUUGAAAUGAAAAAUUAUACAACUUUUAGGUGUGGAAUGUUUGUUUUUGCCUUAAGUGUCCGUGUAAUUGUUUCCUAUGUGACAAAAUAGCUGUAUAGUUAACAUAGCUGAUUUCAAGCUUUACAUUUGGAAGAUUAAGUAAAUGAAAAUAAAAGUGAAGGCUGUUUUGUGGCAGGUGUUUUGAAAGCUCUUUUCUUUUGUGCAGUGUUUCUUUGUGCUAUAUGUUACGUAUAUAUAUAUGAUAUCUAUGUUUGUUUAUUGAUGUAAGAACUGUUUGCUUCAAAAUUGGUGUCAUUUACAAAUGUAAUCAUUUAGUGCGCCAUACUCAUAAAAAACGUUCAGUUUAACCGGAUUUUUUGUCGCUGUCAGCGUGUAACUUGCUGUCUGUUCAGGUUUCAUGUUGUUUGCUAGUCAUCAGUACCUGAGGGUCAAAAAUGAAGCCUCUAAAACUUGAAUCUAGUAAAAAAAGGUCUUUAAAAAAUAACUUUCUAAGGGACUACAAAUAAGUCAAAAGUACAUAUCUAAGUGGUUAAGGGUUAAGUAAUUUCGACUGUAAAGGAAAUGUGCAAUACACUGGUCUGUAAAGGCUUCCAUCAUAGGGCCUGCACAGUUUAUUUUGAUAUGUAUUUCUUAUAUUGCUGAAAGAUGCAAUAGCUCCUUGGUGCUUAACAUUAACGUUACUAAACUUGAAAAUCGAACCAAACAUAAAAUAAGGUUAAAUGUUGAAAGAUAUCAGAUCAUAAGUUUAUGUUGCAGUUUGAUUAAUUUUCAUUUAGAUAGGCUCUACUUUAUUGAUAUGUAAAUUUCUAUAAGGUAAUUAUAUGUUAAAUGUGUCUUGGCCUUAAAUUCUUCAAAAAUAUACAAAUCUAAUGCACUGAGUGUGCUAUAUCAUUUUACAAUAUUAUGUUGAAAGUUUCUAUAUGAACGGUUAUCAAUACUACCAAAAAAGUAAAGAAAAGGUUUAUGUAUUUGAAGGAGUAAGGAAAUGGGCUUUGAAUGUACCUUAUGAAAGAAACUAAUGUCUGCUUUUGGUUGUGCAUUUAUAAACCUGUUACAAAUGUUUAUACAUCAAUUAAUUUGCUGAAGCAAUUGUUAUUUACCGGUAAUAUAAUGUGCUUGCUAGUCAAAAUUUGCAAUUUACAACUGUAUUUAAUUUGAAUGUUUGAAAUAAAUAUAGUACAAAUCCA
This is a long non-coding RNA of Dreissena polymorpha, 2202 nucleotides long. RefSeq lists it as uncharacterized. NCBI's taxonomy places the organism in Eukaryota, Metazoa, Mollusca, Bivalvia, Myida, Dreissenidae. The transcript is spliced from 2 exons. The record is from RefSeq and is a predicted model, not a curated record.